Molecule: transfer RNA, 64 nt
Filed under: Trigonopterus triradiatus
Lineage: Eukaryota; Metazoa; Arthropoda; Insecta; Coleoptera; Curculionidae
Description: tRNA-Glu
Rfam family: tRNA
About the family: Transfer RNA (tRNA) molecules are approximately 80 nucleotides in length.
Source: RNAcentral
AUUUGUAUAGUUUAAUCUCAAAACAUUACAUUUUCACUGUAAAAUUAGACUUCUCUUACAAAUU